UUUUUUUUUGCGUUUUUUGUGUU
This 23-nucleotide small RNA is filed under the name Arabidopsis thaliana (thale cress). Its description in RNAcentral is "ATSL070500". The record is from RNAcentral. Lineage: Eukaryota; Viridiplantae; Streptophyta; Magnoliopsida; Brassicales; Brassicaceae.